UGAGUAACCUGCCCUUAACUCUGGGAUAAGCCUGGGAAACUGGGUCUAAUACCGGAUAUGACUCCUCAUCGCAUGGUGGGGGGUGGAAAGCUUUUAUGUUGGUUG
Molecule: ribosomal RNA, 105 nt
Filed under: uncultured bacterium
Lineage: Bacteria
Description: partial 16S ribosomal RNA
Source: RNAcentral